UUAAGGAAGACCAAUUACAUUCUAUCAGUAAUUGUUUGCAAACCCUGGGAAUUAUUUUCUAAAAAAAAAUCUUUGCCAAAUUGAUUGAUAAGGGAAAAUUGUAUUAAACUGGGGGGAUUCAACUUUUUCUUAGCUGAGACUUCAGCCUGGGAAGCAACUGCAAGGCAACAAAACAGCUGCUGUGACUUCACUGGGGCAGUCUCCUCUGUCCCAACCCGCCUGGCUCAGACGCAGGUUUGCGGGUCAAAGAACAGCAAGCAGCCCAGGAUUUUGGCCCGUAGUCCUGCAAAUACUGCCACUGACGCAGGAUCUGCAGAGCCGAGGGGGUGUGUGAAGGGGGCAAGGGCUGCUGUGUCAGAAGGUCGUCGGCGUAGACACACCCUCAUCGCUGCAUCAGCAGGCGACAACCGAACCGAAAUCAGAACGAAAAACAGACAAAGCAAACAAGUUACAAUAACACCCUUAUUCUAUAGCUAAUGUUUUCCUUCAAGAGAAACCAGACAGAGGACAAAUGAGAGAACCCGACUCUACUUAGGAAACUGUACUGACACCAGGGUCUCUGUUGGCCAAGCCAGAGGGCAGUGGCAUGACCAUAGCAUGAUUGGACACCCUGUACCUGAAUCGAGUCCCAUAAUCUUCACGUCGAUCCUAAAAGCAGAGCCUGUCUCAUCCCCACUUCCCAGAUGAGUACUACGUCACACGGGUCAUCAGCGGAGAGUCGGCGUUCAAGCAUCUCAGUCUGGCUCUAGGUCUCACUACGCAAGGCUUCCUCUCUUUAGAGGACAAAAUGAGUCAGGAAGCACGGUCCUUUCUUCCCUAAAGAAUAUAUAUAUAUAAACAUGAAGAGAGAGCCAGCUAGGGAAAACCAUAAGAAAAUAAUGAAUUAACUAUGUGGAUUAAGCAUGGACCAUUCACUCGCCUUCCAUUGCUCAUUUUCUUAGUUAUUGUAUAUCUUUCCAUGCUGAAUCAUAAUCAGUUAUUACUCAUCUAUUGGGGACAGAGGAAUGGAUAUAUUCUAACUUCCCAAGUGGACUGUGAACUCCCUGAAAAAGUGCACAAUAGGAGACACUCUCAACGUCUCCCUGUAUGGCUGGCAUAGCACUUUCUACAAGCCAUGCUCAAAACUUGUUGGCCACUUGGCAAUGAAUAGCACAGAGAGCAGAGGGGAAAGUAUGGUAGAAGAAGUGGCAAUUAAAUGGAAACCAAAGUCCUUGCAUAUUUAUAGUAUUUAUAGAUGGAGGGGUGAGAAAUUUAGGAGGGAUUAGGAAGCUAGGCUGGACUUUGGUAUGUUCUAAUGCUUUACAUUUAUAGAGAGCUUUGUGGUUU
Molecule: non-coding RNA, 1326 nt
Organism: Microcebus murinus (gray mouse lemur)
Lineage: Eukaryota; Metazoa; Chordata; Mammalia; Primates; Cheirogaleidae
Source: RefSeq, a predicted model, not a curated record